Solanum pennellii is the source of this 2231-nucleotide RNA transcript. RefSeq lists it as uncharacterized. The transcript has 11 exons. The record is from RefSeq and is a predicted model, not a curated record. Lineage: Eukaryota; Viridiplantae; Streptophyta; Magnoliopsida; Solanales; Solanaceae.
UUUUCUCAUGAAAUAACGAAAAAAAAAUAUGUAAAAGAAUAUUAACAUAUAAGAGACUUCAAUCCAGAGUCAAAAUUUUUUCCCCCCAUUUAAAUGUAAAAGUGGUAACCCGCUCAAUUAGCUUCAUUUAGUCUCUAGCAAUGCUUGUAUUGCUUCAUUCUGGAUUCUUUUGUUGUCUCAUGAAACACCUGUCACACAUACGAGGGGCUACGAAUUACGUACUUUUCUUUGAAAAAUUAUACCACCUAAACAAGAUAUAUAAUGUCAUAUAUAUGUUCAAAUCCUUAUAAUUAGUAUGAAACAAUUAAUCGUACAAUAUAUACUUAAUGUUUUUGGUGUUACAUGUUUGUAUAUGUUUAGUCUGGGGACUAGAGUAUGAGUGACAUGACAUGUAUACAUGUUUAUACCUGGAGUAUAUAUUUUACUUUCAGUGCAGGGAACAAUGGAUACUAUCUUGGGGUUGGAAGUUCCAGGUCAGAUUACAUGCAAAUGAUUCAAGGCACGUUGAAGGAAUCACAAUGUGUGGUAGGCAUGCUGAUCUUGAAGUAGUUUUAAAACCAGUCCCCAUUUAUAUCAUCAGCCAUGAAUCUCAACUUCCAGCCACAUUUCUCUACCCUUCUCCAAAAAAUGAGAUGGUUGUUGGACUUGACUGCGAGGGUGUUGACCUCUGUAGAUAUGGAACUCUCUGUAUUGUGCAGCUUGCUUUUCCGGACGCUAUCUACUUGGUUGAUGCAAUACGCGGUGGGAGAAAGUUGAUUAACGCUUGUAAGCCUGCUCUUGAGUCUGUUUAUGUCACAAAAGUUAUUCACGACUGCAAACGGGAUAGUGAGGCAUUAUUCUAUCAGUUUGGUAUCAAGUUGCACAAUGUUAUGGAUACCCAGAUAGCUUAUUAUCUGAUUGAGGAACAGUUGGGGAAGAAGAGCUCACAAGCUGGCCAUAUCUCUUUUGUGCGCCUUCUUGCAGAUCCACGUUAUUGUGGUAUAUCAUACGUGGAGAAAAAAGAAGUCCGUUCCCUUCUGAAGGAGGAUCCUCAGUUUUGGACCUACCGACCAUUAUCUGAGCUGAUGGUCCGUGCAGCUGCUGAUGAUGUUCGAUUUCUUCCAUACGUAUUCCAUAGGAUGAUGGAGAAAUUGAGUGAAGAAUCAUUGUGGAGACUUGCAGUUCGUGGUUCACUUUGUUGUCGGUGUUUCUGCAUAAGUGACAAUGAAUAUGCUGAUUGGCCAGCAAUCCCUUCUAUUCCAGUCUUGUCAGAGUUCCUCAAUGUGGAAAGAGAAACUUUAGAAGACGAGAUCUUGUCCAUACUUGAUGUGCCACCCGGGAAAAUGGGAUGCGUCAUUGGUAGAAAAGGAUCCUCAAUUUUGUCAAUCAAAGAAUCAUGCAAAUAGUGCUUAUUUUAAAGAAUUGAAGUGUUUGGCCAAGCUUUUAUGUAAAAAAUAGUGCUUUUGAGCAGUAGCAAUAGCUUUUUCCUUAGAAGCACUUUUUGAACCUUGGUCAGGGCAGAAAUCCUAAUCAGUGGAUCGAAGGGAGCGCCAGACAAGGUUUUCAUCAUUGGACCCCUGAAGCAGGUAAGGAAAGCAGAAGCCAUGUUGAGGGGCCGGAUGUUGUGACUUGUGAGACAAUCCUUUUGCUGCACCUGGAAGCCAGAGCUUUGCAUUCAGAUUACCCGAUCCUCACACUAAAAAAUCUUUCCUUUUUGCUAAUAUACAAACCCUGCUCUGCUAUAUGCCAAUUCAUCUCAUAUUGGUCGCGGUUCUAAAUCAAUGCAUCUAUUAUUGAAAUUAAAUUGGUACUUGUUUGCACUAAAAUUUUGAAUGUAUUUUAGCGCCUAAUACUUGUCUUAAGUGGACGAGGUCAAUUGUGAACUUGAUUGGUGGAGUGGUCUUGGGGGGUCAUUGUCAUGCCCACGGGGUGGCCAGCUUGGGAAUUUUGAGAAUGAUACUAGAUAGGAGUGGACUAUAAAAAUCUAGUUGUAAUUUUUGUAGUGGGAGCCAUGGGGGGAUAGUUCUAGAAAAUGUGGAGAAAGUGACAAAGGGAUAAAAGCUAGCCCCCCCUUCUUUCACAGUUCACAUGACCACACGGUGACUUUGGGGGAUUGCGGACAAAAGAGGUCGUUGGUGGGGCUUAAGGCCAUUGAAUUUGAAACAGAGUCACUGUACAAUGUAUGUGCAGCAAAUGUUUCUUCAAAUAUUAAGAAACCUCUUUAAUGCUGAAAUGAUUUGAUGUUGGCUUUU